RNAcentral lists this ribosomal RNA (240 nucleotides) under uncultured bacterium. Its description in RNAcentral is "partial 16S ribosomal RNA". It matches the Rfam family "Bacterial small subunit ribosomal RNA", at positions 94 to 334 of the family's 1533-position model. The record is from RNAcentral.
AGUGGCGGACGGGUGAGUAACGCGUGGGUAACCUGCCUCAUACAGGGGGAUAACAGUUAGAAAUGACUGCUAAUACCGCAUAAGACCACAGCACCGCAUGGUGUAGGGGUAAAAACUCCGGUGGUAUGAGAUGGACCCGCGUCUGAUUAGGUAGUUGGUGGGGUAACGGCCUACCAAGCCGACGAUCAAUAGCCGACCUGAGAGGGUGACCGGCCACAUUGGGACUGAGACACGGCCCAA